UUGGUGCAACCCUAGUUAUUUGUCAAUGGGGGUUUGAUGAUGAAGCCAAUCACUUACUAAUGCAAAGGGAGCUGCCGGCUGUCAGAUGGGUUGGUGGUGUUGAAUUAGAAUUAAUUGCCAUUGCGACAGGUAACCUACCUCUCUUCAUGUGUUUCUAAAUUAUAUUUUAUGGCAGUACGUAACAUUUAAGAACUGAGUGCAGGAGGGAGGAUUGUUCCAAGGUUCCAAGAGUUGACUACCGAAAAGCUUGGGAAGGUAUAACCUGAUCUGUCUAUAUCUUUCUUCAAACAAGUAAUAUGCAUGCUAUCUUGUGAGGGUUCAACUGAGAGUGAAUGUAACCGUCUGUGGGUUUCUGAGGGCGACCAUUCACCACUACUUGAUAUGCUGAAUGUUUAUCUCCAACCCUAAAUUCAACCAUCAUGCUAUCUUGGUAGCCGAGUUAGUGGUUUAGUCAGUUUCUUGAAAACACCAUGUGAAUGCCUUGCACUUCUGAACAGCAGUUACAUUAGAGAAUGCAGAGGAUGUAUUGUUUGAACUUUGAAUUGCAUAUGCUUGGUAGCCAUCUUAAUUUGCUUUGUAAAGCAUAAGAUUUAUGUUUGUUUGCUUGUCCUGCUUAAAUAGGCUGGAUUAGUCAGAGAGAAGUCAUUUGGAACAACAAAAGAUCGGAUGCUAUACAUCGAGAAGUGUGCCAAUUCCAAAGCUGUAACUAUUUUCAUCCGUGGUGGUAUGUUCUGAUGUAUAUGUUUUUUCUUUUCUUCAUAUUGACACAUGUAUGCUCAGUGAUUUGUUGGGCCAUGGAAGCAUUAUCCCACCAACCACGAAUCUGUUCGAGACACACUUUACAGUUAAUACUGGAUAGCCUGGAUAUUGUUAUAUCAAUUGGCAGUAUUCGUACUUUGAAUUUUCAAAGCAAUGGUUUUAGAAGAAAAUUUUAAUGCAUGUCAACUCCAUAUUAGAUCGUACCAACUGUUAAUUGUAAUACAUGAGAAAUAAUUCUUGUUUUCACUACAACUGAAGAAAUGCUAACAUGUUUUUAAUCGUGAUUAUAUUUUAUCGUACUUGCCAUACCUCAAGACGGCUUAUAAAAUGACACCAGUUAACUACAAAAUUUCUAAUUUAUGCCAUGAACUAUCCAAAGUCGUCCAAUAGACCCUCAAAUGUUGAUCUGGGUGAUUUGGGAGUCUGUUGGUAACUAAUCCACAUCAUUGAGCUAUAUAUUCAAUACCUCACUGGUAUUGAAUAUAACUCCUUGCCUGUUUGGAUCUCACUGGUUAUGUAGUUCUGGUCCUUUUAGUAAGGACAUGUUUGGUUUGUGCCCAAAGUUGCCCUGUCAAAAAAGUUGGCUAGCCAAAAUUUUUGUUGAGGUUUUGCUUGCCAACAAAUUGGAUAGAAAAUGAACUAGAGUUGGUAAAUGAACAUUUGCAUGCCAAACAGUUGGUAUCCAUCCAAACAAAAAGCCAAUGCUUUUGUGAUGACCGACAAAUUGGGAAGGUACACUUUGGUCACAAUCUGAACAUAAUCUAGGCACCUCUGUUGUUCAUGAUAAUGUCCAUAUUUCUUAUUGAAUCGUUAUACAGUCAUAUCAUAACAUUAAAGUCAUCUGUACUAUUUAGCUGUGUGCUGUUACUUUUUUAGGAUUAUAAGAUUGAAGUCCUCAAAAUAUUUGAGAAACACCAAGCCUAACUGCUGUCUUCCAGUCUUAGUUAGUAUACAUUUCAGUCAUAUUUAGGCUAAUAAUGUAUAUGGGUAUCUUCUGAUUGGUAUUCUGGUAUUGCACAGGCAACAAAAUGAUGAUUGAGGAGACCAAGCGAAGUAUUCAUGAUGCUCUAUGUGUUGCAAGGAAUCUGAUCAUCAACAACUCAAUUGUGUAUGGUGGUGGCUCAGCAGAAAUAUCUUGCUCAAUUGCUGUUGAUGCUGCAGCAGAUCGGCAUCCUGGAGUUGAGCAGGUAAUUGUGGUUUUGGAACUGGUACUACAAAAGAAAUCCAUAUAUGUUUUCUUCUAAUUGUGCUUCUUUGUAUUUUCAGUAUGCAAUCAGGGCAUUUGCUGAUGCUUUGGAUGCCAUUCCACUAGCUUUAGCUGAAAACAGUGGUUUGCCGCCUAUUGAUACUCUCACUGUCGUAAAAUCCCAACAUGUCAAGGUAUUUUGUUUUCUCUGUUGAUUUUGACAGUCACUUUAAAAUGUCGGUUGUCAGCCUGUUCUUCUCACUUUAAAACAUCCUCCUUGUUCUGUUAUACUCCUACUAAUUAGCCGCCUGUGUUUUUGUUGGGGUUGUGAUAGAAUUUAUUUCAGAAGUUACUUUUGGCUAGUGCCUGUGCUUAGUCCUUAUAGUCCUUGGUCCUUCCCCACCUGGCAUUGAUUGUGUUUGAUGCUGUACACGUUGUACCAUCAUGUAAGUCAUAUUAUGUAGUGUACGAUGUGAGGGUUCCAGAAACCAGCACUAGGCAUGCCACUGCCAGUCACCAGUGUUUUUGAGCUCAUAUCUACUACUCCCUCUGUAAACUAAUACUCCCUCCUUACCGGUUUAUAAGGCUCAUAUCUGAAAUUCCACCAACCAAGAUAAAUGUCUAUUGGCUAAUGUGAAAAGUGCCCAAUUAGCAUACUGGUAUUAAAUCUCAGCAUGUUCAAUUGCCAAUGCAAUUAACUACAGCGCCCCAAGCCCUCAUGCGUCCCACUCUCUCUCUCAUCCCGAUGGCACAUGCACUGGUCAUUUUUUUUAUCUCGUUUUAAUGUCCAGAUUGCUGCAUGCAUGCAGCUGAGGGAAGAAAGGAGCAACGACUUGGCUCUGUGAUUAUUUUUCUUUUGAAAAUGGUACCAGGGAAUCAAAUGCAACGCAGAAAUCGAAAAGACCUUAGCGCUUUAACCAAGCUACUCUCAAAACAAGCCUUAUAAAACGGAAAUCUGAAGAUUUUAAGUUGAGCCUUAUAAACAGGUAAGGCUGGUCAUAGUGGGAGUAACAUAGGUAGUAACAUAGAUGCCACAUAAGCAAAAAUGAUGAUGUGGCAAGUAGUUAAUGAGGAGAGAGGCAAAUAGAGUAACAUAAUAUGUUACCAUCACAUAGCGGUUUCCAAUGCAUAAUGAGUCUACAAAGUAAUAAAUGAAGGCAACUAUGUUACCACACCUAUGACACUACCCACUAUGAAGGUAGUAACAUAGACUAGUAACAUAUGUAUGUUACUAGUCUAAGUUACUCCCCACUAUGACCAGCCUAAGGAGGGAGUAGUGAUCUAAAAGAUCUUAUACGUAUUAGUUUACAGAGGGAGUAAUUGUUAUGGCAUUCCUUCUGAAUUGAGGGUAACAUUUCAUUUCUGAACAUAUUUCUAGGAGAACAAUUCCCGCUGUGGCAUUGAUUGCAAUGAUGUUGGUACCAACGACAUGAAAGAACAGAAUGUUUUCGAGACUCUGAUCGGCAAGCAGCAACAGAUCUUGCUGGCAACACAGGUGGUCAAGAUGAUCCUCAAGAUUGAUGAUGUCAUAACGCCUUCUGAGUAUUGAUGACGCCUUCAAGAACGGAAAUCGACUGUGCUAAGUGGCAUGCGCUCCAUUAGUCAGCAUAUUUUAUAUGGGUUGAUUUUGAUUUGCUCCUAGAAUUCUUACAUGGAGUGGUCACUUGUUUUGUUUGAUGAGCUAUCUAGUUUUGUGACGUGCGUUCACACUUUGUAGAGCUUGAGACAGUAGCACAAGUCAUGUCGAUACCAGUCCAUUCGUUGUGUUGUUCAGAUGCUUAAUGUAUGGUUUUGGACCACUAAUUUGUCUGCUUUAUCGUAAUUGUUUUAUUUUUUUGUUUGCUUUGUCUAAAGUAUCUCAGGUAAAGUUGGUGUGAGUCAGACUUACUAUAUGUAUCGAGUUGCUUGUUUUUGUACCGAUCAG
Molecule: long non-coding RNA, 3869 nt
Filed under: Triticum aestivum (bread wheat)
Lineage: Eukaryota; Viridiplantae; Streptophyta; Magnoliopsida; Poales; Poaceae
Description: long non-coding RNA (TAES_LNC014992)
Source: RNAcentral